Fukomys damarensis (Damara mole-rat) is the source of this 2238-nucleotide long non-coding RNA. RefSeq lists it as uncharacterized. The transcript has 4 exons. The record is from RefSeq and is a predicted model, not a curated record. Lineage: Eukaryota; Metazoa; Chordata; Mammalia; Rodentia; Bathyergidae.
AUAGUAAACUGGCUUCCUGGGCUGAUUAUCACAGAUUAAGGAUCACUCUUGUGGUUUCCUGAUAUGGACUCACACGGGACUCUACAGUAAGCUCCAGGCUUUUGAGUUUUGACAGAUCCUUCAGAUCCAAACAUCCUUUUGUACUCUUCCACACCUGACUGUUGGUGGUCAUUUUAGAAAUGCUGGGAUAAAGAGAUCACAGAGCUGGAGGACCAUCUGACCUGGCUGGGAGACCCUGCAAAGGCACAGCCACUGGCCUCGGAGUUAGCAGAGUUCCUGACACAGCUCCACAUGGUGUGCUGCUCUGAUGAACAUCUUUAAAUGCGUUUCUCGGGGAUGAAUCCUGAGAAUAAGCUGACCUACCUGGAGAAGCUGAGUGGUCUCAGUGUCAUUCAACAGUGCCUGAUAUGAACUUCUCAUCAAGUACUCUUCUCCUAUUCUAGGUUAAACUUAUAAGAAAUUUAUGUUAUACAAUUUGCCUGUCCUGUCCUCUGAUUUAGGAUGUCUGCUUCUUGCUGGAUUGUAAGAGUAGCUUCUGCAUUUUAACCUUGAAUCCUUUGUCAGUUCUGCCCCUUGGAAAGUGGUGUCCUUUGCCAUUAUCACAGCAUUGUUAGCCCAACUACCUUGGUUUAGACACUAACUUCCUGUUUACUAGCACUGGGAUAUGACCGUUCCACUUCCUCACCUACAGGAAGGGGUUACAGCAGUGUCUCUCAGAGCCUACGAUGGUGAGGACCGAAUGAGCCCAUGCAUUCAAACCACUCAGAAUGGAGUUUAAUGUAGAGAGAGGAGCGCUUCAAUAAUUUUUUAGAAACUUAAAAAAAUUCUGCUUGCUCCAACUAUUUUCUCCUGCCCUUACCCUCACUCAGAUGAGCUCAUUCCCCAUCAGAGAUGCUUGUUGUAUUCUCUGGGGGAAGGAAACACGACAUAGCAACUUUUUCUUUCUAUGUGUUUACAUGUCUGGCCUAUAGGAGGUACUUGAUAAAUGUUUAUAAACUUGGGGAGUUGGGGUAUAGAUUCUUUGUAGAGCAUUUGCCUAACAUUUAUCAGGUCCUCAGUUUGAUCCCGAGUUAAAAAAUAAAAGUUUAAAGAAUGAAUGAGCAGAUGUUUUCAGUGCCAUAUGAUACCUCUCAUUAUUUAACUCUCUUUUUAUUUUCUAAAGAUACAGUCCUAUGCCUCUUUUUGGGUGGACACUUGCUUCUGCUGUCUCUGUGAUUGCAUCAUGAAAGGGCUCCCUCUGGACUUUGGAGAUACAGUUCCUUAUACAUUUUAAAUGCACCCCCAACAGACUGAAUUGCUUCACGCACUACAAAAGUCUGCAAACUUAAACACUUAUUCCUAAUUCCACCACGCAAUUCAAUUAUUGAAGCUCAGAUAUCCCUAUGGCAUAUGGAUAGGAAGACAUUACUCAUCUCUUGAUAAAACUUCUCUAAGGCUCAAAGAGAUCUGCUCAGAUUCUAAAAUGAAUUCAAGAUGGACUUAAGAUCAGACACUGAAUCCCUGACCUAUAUGUCACGUUCUUAAUUUUUUGCAUCCUAAAAUUUCAAAUUUUUUCAGAUUACUUCAAGAAAUUACCAUGAGUUUUAAGACUCUCCCAACUAAUGUACAAAAACUUGUUUCCAGCCAUGGCAUUUUCCAUUAAUUGGACAUAGAUUGGCAAUUCUGAUAGCAAUCCAUAAAGGCUAUAUUGUAGAACCAAAGGAGAAUGAUGAAGUAGAUAUUUAUGGAAUUUAGAAGAGCUCAAAGACUGGAAGGAGGAAGGGAGAUGAGCAAAAGAGGAAAUUACAUUGAAUGAUAAUUCAUAGUGGUUUUAUAACAUGCUAAAAUCUAGUAGAAAAUGUUAAAAUAAUUCAAAUGCUAAAUACUAUGGGUAAAAUUGUGAAGAUAAGUGAAAAAAAUGGAGAAAAUAAAGUGUGUUACAUUUCCUCCUUGCCAAAGUAGUAGAAACGAUGUAUAGUGACACCCGGUACUUGCUGUGUUCGUGUGUAAAUGAAAAAUCAUGAUCACCUUAUGAGCUCUUGCAAUAGUUCAGAUCUGGAAUGGCUGCCAAAGUCUCUGUGUUAAAGAUUUGGCCUCCAGCUGCUGACAUUCGGCAGAAAGGGAGCCUGGGCGAUGUGGGGCUUGUGGGGGCUUCUUAAGUAAUUGGGAUGCUCUAAAAGGGACAGUGAAAGUAGUAGGGGUGAAGGGAGGACAGGGGUAAAGGAAAAAUAAGAACCAAGACCUGUCAUGUAAGAGUUC